CAGCAGCCGCGGUAACACAGAGGGUGCGAGCGUUAAUCGGAUUUACUGGGCGUAAAGCGUGCGUAGGCGGCUUUUUAAGUCGGAUGUGAAAUCCCUGAGCUUAACUUAGGAAUUGCAUUCGAUACUGGGAAGCUAGAGUAUGGGAGAGGAUGGUAGAAUUCCAGGUGUAGCGGUGAAAUGCGUAGAGAUCUGGAGGAAUACCGAUGGCGAAGGCAGCCAUCUGGCCUAAUACUGACGCUGAGGUACGAAAGCAUGGGGAGCAAACAGGAUUAGAUACCCCCGUAGUCCCUGUCUCUUAUAU
RNAcentral lists this ribosomal RNA (301 nucleotides) under uncultured bacterium. RNAcentral describes it as "partial 16S ribosomal RNA". It matches the Rfam family "Bacterial small subunit ribosomal RNA", at positions 509 to 809 of the family's 1533-position model. The record is from RNAcentral.